Molecule: ribosomal RNA, 401 nt
Filed under: uncultured bacterium
Lineage: Bacteria
Description: bacterial SSU rRNA
Rfam family: Bacterial small subunit ribosomal RNA
Source: RNAcentral
CAGGUCUUGACAUCCUCUGACAACUCUAGAGAUAGAGCGUUCCCCUUCGGGGGGCAGAGUGACAGGUGGUGCAUGGUUGUCGUCAGCUCGUGUCGUGAGAUGUUGGGUUAAGUCCCGCAACGAGCGCAACCCUUGAUCUUAGUUGCCAGCAUUCAGUUGGGCACUCUAAGGUGACUGCCGGUGACAAACCGGAGGAAGGUGGGGAUGGCGUCAAAUCAUCAUGCCCCUUAUGACCUGGGCUACACACGUGCUACAAUGGACGGUACAAAGAGUCGCGAGACCGCGAGGUGGAGCUAAUCUCAUAAAACCGUUCUCAGUUCGGAUUGUAGGCUGCAACUCGCCUACAUGAAGCCGGAAUCGCUAGUAAUCGCGGAUCAGCAUGCCGCGGUGAAUACGUUCCC